RNAcentral lists this ribosomal RNA (660 nucleotides) under uncultured bacterium. Its description in RNAcentral is "bacterial SSU rRNA". It matches the Rfam family "Bacterial small subunit ribosomal RNA", at positions 94 to 788 of the family's 1533-position model. The record is from RNAcentral.
AGUGGCGGACGGGUGAGUAACGCGUGAGAAUCUGCCUUGGGGUCGGGGACAACCACUGGAAACGGUGGCUAAUACCGGAUAAGCCGAUUGGUGAAAGAUUUAUUGCCCGAAGAGGAGCUCGCGUCUGAUUAGCUAGUUGGUGAGGUAAGAGCUCACCAAGGCAGCGAUCAGUAGCUGGUCUGAGAGGACGAUCAGCCACACUGGGACUGAGACACGGCCCAGACUCCUACGGGAGGCAGCAGUGGGGAAUUUUCCGCAAUGGGCGAAAGCCUGACGGAGCAAGACCGCGUGAGGGAGGAAGGCUCUUGGGUUGUAAACCUCCUUUCUCAGGGAAGAAGCUCUGACGGUACCUGAGGAAUCAGCCUCGGCUAACUCCGUGCCAGCAGCCGCGGUAAUACGGAGGAGGCAAGCGUUAUCCGGAAUUAUUGGGCGUAAAGCGUCCGCAGGUGGCGAUUCAAGUCUGCUGUCAAAGCACGGGGCUUAACUCCGUAAAGGCAGUGGAAACUGAAUAGCUAGAGUGCCGUAGGGGUAGAGGGAAUUCCCGGUGUAGCGGUGAAAUGCGUAGAGAUCGGGAAGAACAUCGGUGGCGAAAGCGCUCUACUGGACGGCAACUGACACUCAGGGACGAAAGCUAGGGGAGCGAAUGGGAUUAGAUACCCC